RNAcentral lists this transfer RNA (95 nucleotides) under Bacteroidales bacterium. RNAcentral's name for it is "tRNA-OTHER". It matches the Rfam family "tRNA". From Rfam's summary of the family: Transfer RNA (tRNA) molecules are approximately 80 nucleotides in length. Their secondary structure includes four short double-helical elements and three loops (D, anti-codon, and T loops). Lineage: Bacteria; Pseudomonadati; Bacteroidota; Bacteroidia; Bacteroidales. The record is from RNAcentral.
GCGUCAGUAGCUCAAUUGGUCAGAGCGGCAUCACACUCCAUUUUAUGCAGAAAUAAAUUCAAGAUGCAGUAUCGGUUCGAGUCCGGUCUGACGCG